This 134-nucleotide ribosomal RNA is filed under the name Distichodus sp. RNAcentral's name for it is "partial 18S ribosomal RNA". It matches the Rfam family "Eukaryotic small subunit ribosomal RNA", at positions 1282 to 1436 of the family's 1831-position model. The record is from RNAcentral. Lineage: Eukaryota; Metazoa; Chordata; Actinopteri; Characiformes; Distichodontidae.
GCAUGGCCGUUCUUAGUUGGUGGAGCGAUUUGUCUGGUUAAUUCCGAUAACGAACGAGACUCCGACACGCUAAAUAGUUACGCGGCCCUCGCGGUCGGCGUCCAACUUCUUAGAGGGACAAGUGGGUUCAGCCA